This 253-nucleotide ribosomal RNA is filed under the name uncultured bacterium. RNAcentral describes it as "partial 16S ribosomal RNA". It matches the Rfam family "Bacterial small subunit ribosomal RNA", at positions 524 to 776 of the family's 1533-position model. The record is from RNAcentral.
UACGUAGGGGGCUAGCGUUGCUCGGAAUCACUGGGCGUAAAGCGCACGUAGGCGGCUCUUUAAGUCAGGGGUGAAAUCCUGGAGCUCAACUCCAGAACUGCCUUUGAUACUGAGGAGCUCGAGUCCGGGAGAGGUGAGUGGAACUGCGAGUGUAGAGGUGAAAUUCGUAGAUAUUCGCAAGAACACCAGUGGCGAAGGCGGCUCACUGGCCCGGUACUGACGCUGAGGUGCGAAAGCGUGGGGAGCAAACAGG